CUACUUACCUGGCAGAGGAGAUAUAUGUUCACAAAGGUGGUUUUUAUCCCCAGGGUGAGAUUUAUCCAUUACACUCUGGGUGUGCUGACCACUGUGAUUUCCCCAAAUGUGGGAAACUUGAUGGCAAAAUUUGUGGCAAUGGGGGACUGCAUUUGUGCUCUUUCCUG
Jaculus jaculus (lesser Egyptian jerboa) is the source of this 167-nucleotide small nuclear RNA. Its record names the gene U1. It matches the Rfam family "U1 spliceosomal RNA". Rfam says of the family: U1 is a small nuclear RNA (snRNA) component of the spliceosome (involved in pre-mRNA splicing). Its 5' end forms complementary base pairs with the 5' splice junction, thus defining the 5' donor site of an intron. The record is from Ensembl. NCBI's taxonomy places the organism in Eukaryota, Metazoa, Chordata, Mammalia, Rodentia, Dipodidae.